GGAGAGCUUCUCAUUGUGCAGGUUGGCCAGUUUGCAAAUUGCCUAAUUGAGGCUAGAAAUGAAUUGCAGCAUAAAUCUGAGAUCAUUCAAUGCAAGUUUACAAUAACAAAGGCACUGCUAUUCAAGGCUGACAGGUCAUCGUUCGACCGCCUUUGUCAACAGACCAUGUACAUGGAUGGUAUCCUCCAGUUUGCAGUUUGUGUCAACAGAACUGUGCUUCAGCGAUCCAGACCAUUGAUACUAUGGGCCCCCACUUUUGAAGGUCAUAUCUCGAAAACCAUUCAGAUGAGAAGACCCUUCCCAACCCAGUUGGAUGAUGAGGUUGUAUGAUGAAC
Magnolia sinica is the source of this 335-nucleotide long non-coding RNA. RefSeq lists it as uncharacterized. Lineage: Eukaryota; Viridiplantae; Streptophyta; Magnoliopsida; Magnoliales; Magnoliaceae. The transcript is spliced from 3 exons. The record is from RefSeq and is a predicted model, not a curated record.